GACGAACGCUGGCGGCGUGCUUAACACAUGCAAGUCGAACGGAAAGGCCCUGCUUUUGUGGGGUGCUCGAGUGGCGAACGGGUGAGUAACACGUGAGUAACCUGCCCUUGACUUUGGGAUAACUUCAGGAAACUGGGGCUAAUACCGGAUAGGAGCUCCUGCUGCAUGGUGGGGGUUGGAAAGUUUCGGCGGUUGGGAAUGGACUCGCGGCUUAUCAGCUUGUUGGUGGGGUAGUGGCUACCAAGGCUUUGACGGGUAGCCGGCCUGAGAGGGUGACCGGCCACAUUGGGACUGAGAUACGGCCCAGACUCCUACGGGAGGCAGCAGUGGGGAAUAUUGCACAAUGGGCGGAAGCCUGAUGCAGCAACGCCGCGUGCAGGAUGACGGCCUUCGGGUUGUAAACCGCUUUCGCCUGUGACGAAGCGUGAGUGACGGUAAUGGGUAAAGAAGCACCGGCUAACUACGUG
Molecule: ribosomal RNA, 467 nt
Filed under: uncultured bacterium
Lineage: Bacteria
Description: partial 16S ribosomal RNA
Rfam family: Bacterial small subunit ribosomal RNA
Source: RNAcentral